Molecule: ribosomal RNA, 495 nt
Filed under: uncultured bacterium
Lineage: Bacteria
Description: partial 16S ribosomal RNA
Rfam family: Bacterial small subunit ribosomal RNA
Source: RNAcentral
GAUGAACGCUGGCGGCGUGCCUAAUACAUGCAAGUCGAACGCUGAAGGGGGGGCUUGCUCUUCUGGAUGAGUGGCGCACGGGUGAGUAAAGCGUAGGUAACCUGCCUGUUAGCGAGGGAUAACUAUUGGAAACGCUAGAUAAUACCGCAUGACAACAGUUAAUGCAUGAUAAUUGUUUAAAAGGGGCAACUGUUCCACUACCUGAUGGACCUCCGUUGUAUUAUCUAGUUGGUGAGGUAACGGCUCACCAAGGCGACGAUACAUAGCCGACCUGGGAGGGGGGACGGCCACCCUGGGACUGGGACACCGCCCAGGCCCCUUCGGGAGGCAGCAGUAGGGAAUCUUCGGCAAUGGACGGAAGGCUGACCGAGCAACGCCGCGUGAGUGAAGAAGGUUUUCGGAUCGGAAAGCUCUGUUGUAUAGGAAGAACGAGUGUGAUAGUGGAAAGUGCACACCGUGACGGUAUCUUACCAGAAAGGGACGGCUAACUACGUG